Molecule: ribosomal RNA, 750 nt
Filed under: Staphylococcus aureus
Lineage: Bacteria; Bacillati; Bacillota; Bacilli; Caryophanales; Staphylococcaceae
Description: partial 23S ribosomal RNA
Rfam family: Bacterial large subunit ribosomal RNA
Source: RNAcentral
ACAAGUAGUCAGAGCCCGUUAAUGGGUGAUGGCGUGCCUUUUGUAGAAUGAACCGGCGAGUUACGAUUUGAUGCAAGGUUAAGCAGUAAAUGUGGAGCCGUAGCGAAAGCGAGUCUGAAUAGGGCGUUUAGUAUUUGGUCGUAGACCCGAAACCAGGUGAUCUACCCUUGGUCAGGUUGAAGUUCAGGUAACACUGAAUGGAGGACCGAACCGACUUACGUUGAAAAGUGAGCGGAUGAACUGAGGGUAGCGGAGAAAUUCCAAUCGAACCUGGAGAUAGCUGGUUCUCUCCGAAAUAGCUUUAGGGCUAGCCUCAAGUGAUGAUUAUUGGAGGUAGAGCACUGUUUGGACGAGGGGCCCCUCUCGGGUUACCGAAUUCAGACAAACUCCGAAUGCCAAUUAAUUUAACUUGGGAGUCAGAACAUGGGUGAUAAGGUCCGUGUUCGAAAGGGAAACAGCCCAGACCACCAGCUAAGGUCCCAAAAUAUAUGUUAAGUGGAAAAGGAUGUGGCGUUGCCCAGACAACUAGGAUGUUGGCUUAGAAGCAGCCAUCAUUUAAAGAGUGCGUAAUAGCUCACUAGUCGAGUGACACUGCGCCGAAAAUGUACCGGGGCUAAACAUAUUACCGAAGCUGUGGAUUGUCCUUUGGACAAUGGUAGGAGAGCGUUCUAAGGGCGUUGAAGCAUGAUCGUAAGGACAUGUGGAGCGCUUAGAAGUGAGAAUGCCGGUGUGAGUAGCGAAAGACGGGUG